RNAcentral lists this long non-coding RNA (1834 nucleotides) under Vitis vinifera (wine grape). RNAcentral describes it as "long non-coding RNA (VVIN_LNC000569)". Lineage: Eukaryota; Viridiplantae; Streptophyta; Magnoliopsida; Vitales; Vitaceae. The record is from RNAcentral.
CUCGCCUGGGAAGGAAAACCCAGAGGGGAACUUUUCUGGGUCGAAGAGAAAUGUGAUUUUUUCGCCUUCCAAACAAUACCCAGAUGAGAAUUUCACAGGGUCAAAGAAAAAUAUGAUGUUCUCGCCAUCCAAACAGACUCCAACUGAGAAAAAGAGCGGUCUGAGAAACCCAAAUUCAGGCUCUCUCUCUUCCCCCUCUUCUGAUUCCUCCGACUUCUCUAUGGAUUCUCGACCGCCCCCUCAGAAAACUGGUUGCUUCUUGUGCUCCCUUAAAAGCCCUUCCAAGAAGAAGAGCAAGAAAAAUCAGAGCUGGAGCAAAAAGGAUGAACUUGUAUCAGAUUUGAGCAUUUUCACAGAGAAAUCACAGAGGAAAAUUCUGAAGAAGGCCAUGAAAGAGGAAGAGAAAAUCAACAGAGAAGCUGAGAAAAUUGUGAAGUGGGCCAAGCAGGCUUCAGCAAGAAUGAAUAUUUCAGACAUUGAAGAUGGGCUGAGUGAUGAUGACAAGUUCAAAUGAGCUCUCUGAGUCAGCUCAUUGAUGCAUUAAUAAGUAAAUUAAAUUUUUUUUUUUGGGUAUAAAAAUUAUGGUAUACAAUUUGGUUCAUAUCGAAAGAGGAUUGGAAAAUUUUAUGUAGUUUGGAUGCUUUGUAAAAGAGUUUUCAUUUGUAUCUCAUAUUAAGGCUUUUUCUUUUUUCUUUUUCUUUUUUGUAAUAUCUUUGUGUGGAUUAAUUACGAGAAGUGAAAAAAUAAAAAAUAAUAAAUCAAGAGCCUCUCAUUUGGUUAACUGGACUGAAACAUCUUAUUACUUAAAAUAGAGUUUUUGAAAAAAUAAUAAAUUGAUCCAAAUUAAGUCCAAAAUCAAUCAUAUUGGUUCGAUUUUUAAUAAUAAAAAUGAUCGAUUCGAUUUGAGAAGAAUUUUAAAAACCGAUUUUAUCUAUUCGAUUUUAAAACUUAUAUAUAAUAAUUUGACAUUUGAUAAAAAAAUUUAUUUUAGAUUCUAUUAAAAUAAUUCAUGGUCAAAUUAAUUUUAAAUACAUUCAAUACGCUUUAACAUCAAAUCCAAGUUAAUUUCAAUUAAUUUUAAAAACAAAUUAGACUUAAAACUUAAUAUAAACACAAAAUUAAUAAGUUUUGGAUUUAAAGCAAACACAAAUUGACAAUUGGGUUGGGGGCUAAAAAAAACAUUAAAUUGGAUCGAAACCGAUCUACGAAAACUGAACCAAAUCGAUCUUAAAAUGUUUGGUUUGGUUUGGUUUUUUACUUCAAAUUUGAGUAAUUCAAUUUCUUUCACAUAUAAAACCAAUUAUAUCAAUUCAAUGCAUUUUUUUACUCAAAAAAUGAUCGAUCCAACCUUAUUUACAUUCCAAAUUAUUACUUCCUUUCAAAUCCAUUAACAUGGCUCUAUAUUUAUGUGAAUUCUAUAAUGAAAUUUUAAAUUUUAGAAAAAAUAAUGAUAAAAAUAAAAAUAAAAAGAUAACUGUAGACCCAAUCCAGCCAAAAGUGUACCCUAUUUCAAUUGGCAUGAUGUUACCUGCCACCCAACUCUUCCCCAAUUGCACAGUCCCCUCCAUCUCCAUUUCUUUUCAAACCUGUCAAAAGAAAAAUGGGUCCAAACACCUCAUCAUCAAGCAAUUUGAGAGACUUAAAAAAAACGCUAACUAUUGUGGAGAUUAUGACCUUACCACCAAUCAACAUACCUCUAGUCUUCUUCAAUAUUGGAUGCUUCUCGUCACUAGUCAAUACUGCUAAAACCCCCUGUUUUCUCCAUAGCUGAGUACCCAGAAGAAUCAUCCAUCAUAUGCCAAGCACACCCUUUCAGAAUUCAGCAAAAAUCAAA